GGGUAUAGCUCAAUGGUAGAGUGCAUGCUUAGCAUGCACAAGGUCCUGGGUUCAAUCCCCAGAAUUUCCA
Molecule: transfer RNA, 70 nt
Filed under: Camelus bactrianus (Bactrian camel)
Lineage: Eukaryota; Metazoa; Chordata; Mammalia; Artiodactyla; Camelidae
Also listed under: 2 other names
Rfam family: tRNA
About the family: Transfer RNA (tRNA) molecules are approximately 80 nucleotides in length. Their secondary structure includes four short double-helical elements and three loops (D, anti-codon, and T loops).
Source: Rfam by way of RNAcentral